RNAcentral lists this small nuclear RNA (22 nucleotides) under Arabidopsis thaliana (thale cress). Its description in RNAcentral is "snRNA_16513". Lineage: Eukaryota; Viridiplantae; Streptophyta; Magnoliopsida; Brassicales; Brassicaceae. The record is from RNAcentral.
UUGGUCAAAAAGCCCAUGAGCC